RNAcentral lists this ribosomal RNA (888 nucleotides) under uncultured bacterium. RNAcentral's name for it is "bacterial SSU rRNA". It matches the Rfam family "Bacterial small subunit ribosomal RNA", at positions 56 to 928 of the family's 1533-position model. The record is from RNAcentral.
UGCAAGUAGAACGCUGAAGGAGGAGCUUGCUUCUCUGGAUGAGUUGCGAACGGGUGAGUAACGCGUAGGUAACCUGCCUGGUAGCGGGGGAUAACUAUUGGAAACGAUAGCUAAUACCGCAUAAUAGUAGAUGUUGCAUGACAUUUGCUUAAAAGGUGCAAUUGCAUCACUACCAGAUGGACCUGCGUUGUAUUAGCUAGUUGGUGGGGUAACGGCUCACCAAGGCGACGAUACAUAGCCGACCUGAGAGGGUGAUCGGCCACACUGGGACUGAGACACGGCCCAGACUCCGACGGGAGGCAGCAGUAGGGAAUCUUCGGCAAUGGACGGAAGUCUGACCGAGCAACGCCGCGUGAGUGAAGAAGGUUUUCGGAUCGUAAAGCUCUGUUGUAAGAGAAGAACGAGUGUGAGAGUGGAAAGUUCACACUGUGACGGUAUCUUACCAGAAAGGGACGGCUAACUACGUGCCAGCAGCCGCGGUAAUACGUAGGUCCCGAGCGUUGUCCGGAUUUAUUGGGCGUAAAGCGAGCGCAAGCGGUUAGAUAAGUCUGAAGUUAAAGGCUGUGGCUUAACCAUAGUACGCUUUGGAAACUGUUUAACUUGAGUGCAAGAGGGGAGAGUGGAAUUCCAUGUGUAGCGGUGAAAUGCGUAGAUAUAUGGAGGAACACCGGUGGCGAAAGCGGCUCUCUGGCUUGUAACUGACGCUGAGGCUCGAAAGCGUGGGGAGCAAACAGGAUUAGAUACCCUGGUAGUCCACGCCGUAAACGAUGAGUGCUAGGUGUUAGACCCUUUCCGGGGUUUAGUGCCGCAGCUAACGCAUUAAGCACUCCGCCUGGGGAGUACGACCGCAAGGUUGAAACUCAAAGGAAUUGACGGGGGCCCGCACAA